This 1207-nucleotide long non-coding RNA is filed under the name Sorghum bicolor (sorghum). RNAcentral's name for it is "long non-coding RNA (SBIC_LNC007207)". Lineage: Eukaryota; Viridiplantae; Streptophyta; Magnoliopsida; Poales; Poaceae. The record is from RNAcentral.
GAUUUUCGUGAUCUUUACGUUCGUGUGAUUCGUAGCGAUACGUAGAAUCUUUUUAUAAACUUUUCAUACUGUUUUUAUAUGAUUGGUGUAAUGUUCUAAUCGUAGUCUUUGCAUCGUGUAUGUUGUCUCCGUUGUUUGUGUGUUGAUGAUCGAUGAUCGAGUUUAGUCGAUGAGCAAUUCGUGGUGAUCAAGAGUACUUCAGUGAUCAAGAUCAGAGCCUUGGACAACUAAUAAGACCAGCAGGAUCAGCAAGAGCAAAUGGAUUAAGGCAAGUAUAGUAAUUUGGAUUUUAUUUCUGUGAUCAUGAUCCUGUGACUAAAUUAAUGUUAAGUAAUAAAUGAUAAAAAUGACUUUUUAGCCACUUGAUGAUUUAUCUGUAAGUGAUAACCGGGACAACAGUGCAACCAUGAGGGCUAUAAUGGCUCUGGCUUUAGCUCAGUAUGAAGACCUUUUCUAGCUUGUUAGAGGUUACCCGAAAGGUCGGAGGGGCUGAACCGACACGGGUAUAGUGCGAGCCCCUGUCCCUAUGUGUAUAGGCUGCGCGUCAUUGUGCCAUUCGGAAGGGGGGUAUCUAUAUCUGCUCGCAAAGAAAACCUUGCGGCCCUAACAUGUUAGACGAACUUUUGAAAGGCUUCAUAGUGAUCCCUGCCGACCUUCCUUGGAAGUGGGUUAAGAGGCUGAUCACCUCGGGCGAAAGGGUAAAUCAUGACUCAUGGGUAAAGAUGUGCAACCUCUGCAGAGGGUUAAAAACUAGUAUACUAGCCGAGCUCACGGUCAGGAGCGGCCUUGGGGAUUCUUGCUGCGACGAUGAUGAUUCUUGUGUGUUAAUAUACUCAUUAUUUAUUAUUUAAUGCUUUACAUUAUUUAUGUCACAUUGAUCAUGAGAUUGUGGGAUCUAUACAAUCUAGUUGCUAUACUUGUGGAGUUCGACAUGGACUCACUCUUGCUAUUUCCCCCAAACCUCAGGAGAAGUUAGGCUUGUGAUCAACCAGUCAGUUGGAUCCUGUAGAGAGAAGUUAAUACCCAGAGUUUGGAGUUGUCGAUCCGCUGUUUGCUUUUAAAGGUUAUCUCUGAUUUACUAAGUACGUUAUAUAAUUUAUGCAUUGUAUUUUGAUAUUACCCCUUAUUUGUAGCUAUAUGUGAGAUUUGGCUUUUAAAACUCACAUAUGGUGUAUAUCUGGUUUUGUCCUUAAAAUCGGGUAUUACA